Molecule: long non-coding RNA, 844 nt
Organism: Olea europaea var. sylvestris
Lineage: Eukaryota; Viridiplantae; Streptophyta; Magnoliopsida; Lamiales; Oleaceae
Exons: 2
Source: RefSeq, a predicted model, not a curated record
UUUUUUAAACCCACUAUGUGCACAAAAGGGGGAAAAAACCAAAACGGCAAAAUCCCGAGAAAUCAAAAGGGUAAAAAUCAAGAACAAAGAAGAACGACGGUGGAGGUCGGAGAUUCGGAGCUGAUGUGAUCGUCAUCACCAUCAAUAGUUCACCUCCCAAUUUCCUCUCCGUUGACGAUGAAAAUCACCAGCUCCGUCCGCUGUUUUGUUUGAGGAGAAAAAGUAAAAGGCUGAAAAGGAUUAACUUUUGAGUUUUGGUAUUGAAUUGCAUGGAUUUAGGCAUUUAGCUUUGUGUUGGAACUACAUUGAAUCAUUGAUAUUAUUUUGAUUCCUGGAUUCUUAGAUGUUCUUUCAUGUAUUUAAUCGGGCAAUGGGCAGCAACUGAGGCUUUAUGUGAAAUUUGAAUUUCAUAGAGUUUAGACAUUGAGGCAAUCAGAUCCUGGAGCUUGGGUGCUAUUUCUGUGAUUAUCAAGAGAGCUGGGAACUGAAGGUCAAACACUUGAAAAAACCAUCACUGGACAUAUGAUUAGAAGUAGCUACAGGAACACGAUGAAUUUAAGUUAUUAGUUUUCUCUUUUUUGGAGUUGAUAACUAAUUUAUAUAAUAAUAUUCUCUUGAGUGGCCAAGACAAUUUCGCCUGCUGAUCCAGUAAUGAAUGUUAAUUGUCCUCUGGCAGUUCAUAUUACUCUUUCAUGUCCCUCUAUAAAAGUAUGGAUUUUUGACUGCUAUGAAAUAAUCUUCUAUACUCAGGUUACUCUUACAUUUCAUUAAAUCUAAUUUAUUAACAUUUUGUGAAACUACAGGAGAGUUGAUUGAUAUAAUUUUUGUUCUAAUUUUACAGUUU